CCCCCCGGCAGCCGGGGGGAAAUAGCACAUUUUGAUGUUAGCGCCACCCCGGCUGCCGGGGUGAAAUAGGUGUGAGGACCAAGAAAUAUUAAGGGAAAAACAACUUUUAGAAACAACCAUCAACCAUGUGCCAAUCCUUUUCACCCAACAAAACAGCAAAAGAAGAGUUUAUUGUGGUGCUGUAACAGUAUGUUUGCAGAAUUGAUAAAUUGCUUGCUUGAAGUAUGUACUCAGCAUUGAAAAAUGUGCACAGCAAAAACAGUUGGUCAGAAUUCUAAACGUCAAAUGAUUUCCCGAUUGGACAAGCAGGCCAUAAAGGAAAUGGAAGAAUAUUCACUGUAUUACAUGGCAAGAAGAAUACAUCCUCGACAUCACUUCUAUGCUGCAGAAAAAUCAGCACACAUCCUGAUUUCUGCCAUUCCGUCAGUCACUCCAAUGCUUUCGACAACAGGACAAAAGCAGCAUUCUUCAAUCAGACUGCUCCUGAUUGUCUUGAACAUGUGUUACUUGUCAUGCCCGGUAAGAAAUUUCACAGGACUGUGUUGUAAAUUGGUAUCACCUUUAAGAAGCAGAUUUAGAUCACAUGGCUUCUGUGAAAGUAAUCAGGUGUCUGUCACCAAAAUGGCUCUCUCCGUUCGCGACAUCAGAACUCCCCAGUGUGUCGUUUUCCCUCGAGUUAAGCGUUUUGAACCAUCUCAGGCCUAAGCUGAAGUUCUAGAGGUAUUAAGAAAGUGGUUGCUUUUGUUAGAGUUUUUCACCGUCAGAUGCAUCAAUCAGAAUGAUGUUCACUUCCUCGAAGUCAUUGCUCACGUUAUAUUGACCCGCAAAGGCAAAUCGGAAAAGGAUAUUCUUUUCCUUGACAUAAAGAACGAAAAUUUAAUGCACUAGCAAGUCAUCCGCAUCCAAACAGAUCAAACGCGCGAGAUAUCGCACCUCGUUCGGCAACUUACCAUCCAGCAACGCAUCCAUCAAUAGAGUGUUAAAGAGGAAACUAAUUGACUGCAUGCCAACUCGACGAUUUCCAUGCAAGACGAAUGUUAAAAUCCAAGGAGAUCUGGUGAACAGGAUCCAACGGACUAGGUCAUGUCAAACCAUUAGUUGAAUAGAAUGAAUACUUUUAGUUCUACAGAACAAGAGGCCUACAUAGGUUAAGAAUCAUACUGAAUCAAAAGAGGUACCUAGUUGAACGAGAUUU
Daphnia magna is the source of this 1195-nucleotide long non-coding RNA. RefSeq lists it as uncharacterized. The record is from RefSeq and is a predicted model, not a curated record. Lineage: Eukaryota; Metazoa; Arthropoda; Branchiopoda; Diplostraca; Daphniidae. The transcript has 6 exons.